This 445-nucleotide long non-coding RNA is filed under the name Vitis vinifera (wine grape). RNAcentral describes it as "long non-coding RNA (VVIN_LNC007817)". Lineage: Eukaryota; Viridiplantae; Streptophyta; Magnoliopsida; Vitales; Vitaceae. The record is from RNAcentral.
CGAAGUUUUGGCCGGCGAUGACGAUGGUGUACUUGGUUUUCAACUCGCCGGCUUCAAUGAAGCGGGUUUCAUAGGACGAGGGAAGGCCGAUGAAGGCGUAAGAGCCGAGCUUUUGGUACUCGUCGGGGUUAGAUGGGACGAGGGUGAGGUACUCAGCGGGGAUGAUUUGGUCCGUAUCAAUGUUGUCGUGGACGACGUAGCAGAGGCCGUGAAAUGAGGUGGAGCUGGCAGUAACAGUGGUGGACCGACGAGUGGAGGCGGCGGUAGUGGCGGUAGUGAAGGGGAUAGUCGUGAGAGAUUUGAAGGGGAAUUUACGAGAGAUUGCGGUGGAGAAUCGGAGACAUGAGUGAGGAGAGAGAGAAGCGUGGGGCUUGUGCGAAGACGUGAGGUUAGGGUUUCCUGAAAGGGCUGCCGAAGCUGUUGAAGCCGCCAUGGAUGUGAGCUU